UGAAUUUUGAGCAGGUUGAAUUUUUGGGGAAAUGUUCAAUUUACAGGGGAGACUCUGCCAAAAUUUUGGUAGAAAGUCUCGAUCCUUAGUAAGUGGGCCCGACAUCGGGGAGAUGUCAGUAACGAUAUGGGAUUCGCUUCGGUUUCAGGGACGAGUCCUGUCCGCUAAAAUUGUCACAUCCCGGGAUCAACUCCGCCGUAGCACGAUAUUGUCCGCUUUGGGCCCCCC
Molecule: long non-coding RNA, 228 nt
Filed under: Prunus persica (peach)
Lineage: Eukaryota; Viridiplantae; Streptophyta; Magnoliopsida; Rosales; Rosaceae
Description: long non-coding RNA (PPER_LNC005249)
Source: RNAcentral